This 1048-nucleotide long non-coding RNA is filed under the name Rattus norvegicus (Norway rat). Its description in RNAcentral is "long non-coding RNA NONRATT012172". The record is from RNAcentral. Lineage: Eukaryota; Metazoa; Chordata; Mammalia; Rodentia; Muridae.
UGCUUAUAGAGCGAGCUGUGCAAUGCUUGUGGGUCUUUCGUCUUUGCUGAUCUUCACUUCACUGAGACAGCAGAGAACUUCUGCCACUGCCACACCUGUGAAUGGAACUGCCGAUGUCCAGACAACACAGAUGGGAGUUGCUCCAAAGAACCAUUUCCAAACAGCGUGGUGCAUAGAGUAGGCAUCUUCUGAGGUCAUUGCUACAUGGAAAGAUAUGGACGAAACGAAGCAGCCCCUUCAUAUCCCAGCCUCGAGGAACACUUUGGGAAACACUAAGGCACAUGAGUGGGGGAGAAAUACCAACAGUGAUGUCGCUGCUGAUUUAAGAAGCUGUGCUAUCAGACGAUUUGUGCACGUGACUGCUGCUGAUCUUGCCACAAGGCGGCGCUGCUGGAGGCCACCGGAAGCUGGUUUUAAAAGCUCUGCUGUACAAAUAACAAUUCCAGAGGGAAGCUUACGUGUCUUUAAGCCCUACAGGUUUUGAUGUCGGCAGAAGCCAAAUACUCUGCCUUUUAUGACAACGGCAUUGAUGACUCCGUUUCCCCCAGCACGAGGGUGAAGAAGACCAGCAAUCUCCCUCCCCGCCGCCGUCACUUCUGCGCAGAAUCGUUUCCUCGCAGAUGGAAGCGAUUUUUCAUUAGCGUAAAUGGAUGCAUGUUUUAUAAACACCGGCCAUGUGUUUCAUAUUCCAUUCAUGUUUAUUUACACAUCCUGUAAACACGUGUAUACAAAGCCACACGGACACGUGGGGGCGGGGAGGGCAUGGAACACUACGCAUGGAAAAUACCACACUAGGCGGGUGUCCCUCUGAGGGUAAAUCCACCACCCAAAGAUUCCCAUCUACCUUCUUACUACCUUUGGGGCGGUUGGGGACAAGGGAGGAGGGGAGGGUUGUCCUAUAGGGACUCGGACAUUCAGAUUUUCCUCAGCCUCUUUUCUCCCCUUCAGAUGCCCAGCUUUCUUAAGGCUCUGAUUUAUUGAAAAUAAUAAUAAUAAUAAUAAUAAUAAUAAUAAUAAUAAUAAUAAUAAAGUAUCAAUGAUCUCCACC